This 2903-nucleotide ribosomal RNA is filed under the name Escherichia coli KTE2. Its description in RNAcentral is "bacterial LSU rRNA". It matches the Rfam family "Bacterial large subunit ribosomal RNA". Lineage: Bacteria; Pseudomonadati; Pseudomonadota; Gammaproteobacteria; Enterobacterales; Enterobacteriaceae. The record is from RNAcentral.
UUAAGCGACUAAGCGUACACGGUGGAUGCCCUGGCAGUCAGAGGCGAUGAAGGACGUGCUAAUCUGCGAUAAGCGUCGGUAAGGUGAUAUGAACCGUUAUAACCGGCGAUUUCCGAAUGGGGAAACCCAGUGUGAUUCGUCACACUAUCAUUAACUGAAUCCAUAGGUUAAUGAGGCGAACCGGGGGAACUGAAACAUCUAAGUACCCCGAGGAAAAGAAAUCAACCGAGAUUCCCCCAGUAGCGGCGAGCGAACGGGGAGCAGCCCAGAGCCUGAAUCAGUGUGUGUGUUAGUGGAAGCGUCUGGAAAGGCGCGCGAUACAGGGUGACAGCCCCGUACACAAAAAUGCACAUGCUGUGAGCUCGAUGAGUAGGGCGGGACACGUGGUAUCCUGUCUGAAUAUGGGGGGACCAUCCUCCAAGGCUAAAUACUCCUGACUGACCGAUAGUGAACCAGUACCGUGAGGGAAAGGCGAAAAGAACCCCGGCGAGGGGAGUGAAAAAGAACCUGAAACCGUGUACGUACAAGCAGUGGGAGCCUCUUAAUGGGGUGACUGCGUACCUUUUGUAUAAUGGGUCAGCGACUUAUAUUCUGUAGCAAGGUUAACCGAAUAGGGGAGCCGAAGGGAAACCGAGUCUUAACUGGGCGUUAAGUUGCAGGGUAUAGACCCGAAACCCGGUGAUCUAGCCAUGGGCAGGUUGAAGGUUGGGUAACACUAACUGGAGGACCGAACCGACUAAUGUUGAAAAAUUAGCGGAUGACUUGUGGCUGGGGGUGAAAGGCCAAUCAAACCGGGAGAUAGCUGGUUCUCCCCGAAAGCUAUUUAGGUAGCGCCUCGUGAAUUCAUCUCCGGGGGUAGAGCACUGUUUCGGCAAGGGGGUCAUCCCGACUUACCAACCCGAUGCAAACUGCGAAUACCGGAGAAUGUUAUCACGGGAGACACACGGCGGGUGCUAACGUCCGUCGUGAAGAGGGAAACAACCCAGACCGCCAGCUAAGGUCCCAAAGUCAUGGUUAAGUGGGAAACGAUGUGGGAAGGCCCAGACAGCCAGGAUGUUGGCUUAGAAGCAGCCAUCAUUUAAAGAAAGCGUAAUAGCUCACUGGUCGAGUCGGCCUGCGCGGAAGAUGUAACGGGGCUAAACCAUGCACCGAAGCUGCGGCAGCGACGCUUAUGCGUUGUUGGGUAGGGGAGCGUUCUGUAAGCCUGCGAAGGUGUACUGUGAGGUAUGCUGGAGGUAUCAGAAGUGCGAAUGCUGACAUAAGUAACGAUAAAGCGGGUGAAAAGCCCGCUCGCCGGAAGACCAAGGGUUCCUGUCCAACGUUAAUCGGGGCAGGGUGAGUCGACCCCUAAGGCGAGGCCGAAAGGCGUAGUCGAUGGGAAACAGGUUAAUAUUCCUGUACUUGGUGUUACUGCGAAGGGGGGACGGAGAAGGCUAUGUUGGCCGGGCGACGGUUGUCCCGGUUUAAGCGUGUAGGCUGGUUUUCCAGGCAAAUCCGGAAAAUCAAGGCUGAGGCGUGAUGACGAGGCACUACGGUGCUGAAGCAACAAAUGCCCUGCUUCCAGGAAAAGCCUCUAAGCAUCAGGUAACAUCAAAUCGUACCCCAAACCGACACAGGUGGUCAGGUAGAGAAUACCAAGGCGCUUGAGAGAACUCGGGUGAAGGAACUAGGCAAAAUGGUGCCGUAACUUCGGGAGAAGGCACGCUGAUAUGUAGGUGAAGUCCCUCGCGGAUGGAGCUGAAAUCAGUCGAAGAUACCAGCUGGCUGCAACUGUUUAUUAAAAACACAGCACUGUGCAAACACGAAAGUGGACGUAUACGGUGUGACGCCUGCCCGGUGCCGGAAGGUUAAUUGAUGGGGUUAGCGGUAACGCGAAGCUCUUGAUCGAAGCCCCGGUAAACGGCGGCCGUAACUAUAACGGUCCUAAGGUAGCGAAAUUCCUUGUCGGGUAAGUUCCGACCUGCACGAAUGGCGUAAUGAUGGCCAGGCUGUCUCCACCCGAGACUCAGUGAAAUUGAACUCGCUGUGAAGAUGCAGUGUACCCGCGGCAAGACGGAAAGACCCCGUGAACCUUUACUAUAGCUUGACACUGAACAUUGAGCCUUGAUGUGUAGGAUAGGUGGGAGGCUUUGAAGUGUGGACGCCAGUCUGCAUGGAGCCGACCUUGAAAUACCACCCUUUAAUGUUUGAUGUUCUAACGUUGGCCCCUGAUCGGGGUUGCGGACAGUGUCUGGUGGGUAGUUUGACUGGGGCGGUCUCCUCCUAAAGAGUAACGGAGGAGCACGAAGGUUGGCUAAUCCUGGUCGGACAUCAGGAGGUUAGUGCAAUGGCAUAAGCCAGCUUGACUGCGAGCGUGACGGCGCGAGCAGGUGCGAAAGCAGGUCAUAGUGAUCCGGUGGUUCUGAAUGGAAGGGCCAUCGCUCAACGGAUAAAAGGUACUCCGGGGAUAACAGGCUGAUACCGCCCAAGAGUUCAUAUCGACGGCGGUGUUUGGCACCUCGAUGUCGGCUCAUCACAUCCUGGGGCUGAAGUAGGUCCCAAGGGUAUGGCUGUUCGCCAUUUAAAGUGGUACGCGAGCUGGGUUUAGAACGUCGUGAGACAGUUCGGUCCCUAUCUGCCGUGGGCGCUGGAGAACUGAGGGGGGCUGCUCCUAGUACGAGAGGACCGGAGUGGACGCAUCACUGGUGUUCGGGUUGUCAUGCCAAUGGCACUGCCCGGUAGCUAAAUGCGGAAGAGAUAAGUGCUGAAAGCAUCUAAGCACGAAACUUGCCCCGAGAUGAGUUCUCCCUGACUCCCUGAGAGUCCUGAAGGAACGUUGAAGACGACGACGUUGAUAGGCCGGGUGUGUAAGCGCAGCGAUGCGUUGAGCUAACCGGUACUAAUGAACCGUGAGGCUUAACCUU